AAGAGGCUACAUGAAGGGGAUUAUUUUGUUUGUCUUGAGGGAGUGGGUGAACUUGAGAAAAUGGAGACAAGAGAUGGAAAUCUUAGAGUUUUGUGUGGAUCACAGCUACAUAAACAGGGGAAAGGAAAAAGCCACAGUAGCAUUCUCCAGUGAGGAGGGGGAUCCUGCCGCGUCCUAGAAGACACCAUUGCACACUGCUGCACAGUCCACAUUAUCUGCUGUGGCUGCCGCACUAUCCAGUCUAUGGGGUCACUGUGCAGCCAAGGGGUUGGCUGAUACAAACAGGCCUGAGAGAUGAGGACUGAAAUAAGAAGCACAAGGAGUGGUCAGCACCCAAAAGCUGCCUAGUACUGUAUCAAAGGCAGGAAGAAAAGAAAGAAGCCUUCCUGUUGUCUGAGUGCUCCACCAGGAAAGCAGCCCAGCAAACAAGGAAGCGCAUCUGCCAGCGAGACAGUUGAAGCGGUGUUUUCUGCCAGAUCAGAAAUAGCUAGGAAUGAUUAGAUAGUAAGAGCUUAAGAACGACAGAACAAAUGCAGAGAAACAAGGAAUUACAGUACGCCGUGACCAGUGUUCUAGCAGGGCAAGCUCAUUCUGCUUACAGAAAAGAGAAUUCAAAAGGUUCCAGACUUCCUUGAGCAACUGAAACAGAGGGCUAAGGAGACAGCCAUGCAGAGCGCGUGGGAGGCAUGCCGGAGAGCUGAAACGGAGCCAUUGUAGACCCAAGGGAGAACACAAGGCCCUCACUGAUGGAUGGACCCAGUGCAGAGCUGAACACAGGACUGAAGAAACAUUUCACCCUGCGUUCCCCUUCUCUGGGAUCUUGCAAAUGCUCUCAGGUCUUUUCUCUAGUCCACAUGUGUGCUUGUUAUGUUUGAUGUGGAAUCAGGGGAUUUGAAACUAAUUACAGCUCUAACCUUGUGC
This 921-nucleotide long non-coding RNA is filed under the name Mus pahari (shrew mouse). Its description in RNAcentral is "lncRNA (MGP_PahariEiJ_G0002180.1)". The record is from RNAcentral. Lineage: Eukaryota; Metazoa; Chordata; Mammalia; Rodentia; Muridae.